AACAAUGGCACAAUGGCUAAUAUCUUGGCACAACCAAUAACGCUAAUUACUGCUGAUAAUUGAGCGUACAAUUCCAUCCGAGCUCUUCCAAAAAUAAUAAAACGUGAAGUGAAAUCGAAGGAACGUAACUACCAAUAAUUUAUGAUUCUGCAUUGCCUCCCCUGACAUCUCUCUGAUUGGGAUGUUCACCAAAUGUUUUUUUCUUAAAAAGUGGAGUGCUCGUUGACAAGGACAAGCCAAGUGGUGGUGGUUCUCCAGAAAUGGAGUACUAACGGAGCCACCGGUGCUGCUGCUGCUUCCAGCAGCGCUGUAACCUCGAUUAGCAGAUGUUGAUGGAGGCUGAAGAAUAUUGGAU
Molecule: long non-coding RNA, 355 nt
Organism: Fopius arisanus
Lineage: Eukaryota; Metazoa; Arthropoda; Insecta; Hymenoptera; Braconidae
Exons: 3
Source: RefSeq, a predicted model, not a curated record